GGGUUGUGAGGUUAAGCGACUAAGCGUACACGGUGGAUGCCCUGGCAGUCAGAGGCGAUGAAGGACGUGCUAAUCUGCGAUAAGCGUCGGUAAGGUGAUAUGAACCGUUAUAACCGGCGAUUUCCGAAUGGGGAAACCCAGUGUGAUUCGUCACACUAUCAUUAACUGAAUCCAUAGGUUAAUGAGGCGAACCGGGGGAACUGAAACAUCUAAGUACCCCGAGGAAAAGAAAUCAACCGAGAUUCCCCCAGUAGCGGCGAGCGAACGGGGAGCAGCCCAGAGCCUGAAUCAGUGUGUGUGUUAGUGGAAGCGUCUGGAAAGGCGCGCGAUACAGGGUGACAGCCCCGUACACAAAAAUGCACAUACUGUGAGCUCGAUGAGUAGGGCGGGACACGUGGUAUCCUGUCUGAAUAUGGGGGGACCAUCCUCCAAGGCUAAAUACUCCUGACUGACCGAUAGUGAACCAGUACCGUGAGGGAAAGGCGAAAAGAACCCCGGCGAGGGGAGUGAAAAAGAACCUGAAACCGUGUACGUACAAGCAGUGGGAGCACAGAGCAAUCUGUGUGACUGCGUACCUUUUGUAUAAUGGGUCAGCGACUUAUAUUCUGUAGCAAGGUUAACCGAAUAGGGGAGCCGAAGGGAAACCGAGUCUUAACUGGGCGUUAAGUUGCAGGGUAUAGACCCGAAACCCGGUGAUCUAGCCAUGGGCAGGUUGAAGGUUGGGUAACACUAACUGGAGGACCGAACCGACUAAUGUUGAAAAAUUAGCGGAUGACUUGUGGCUGGGGGUGAAAGGCCAAUCAAACCGGGAGAUAGCUGGUUCUCCCCGAAAGCUAUUUAGGUAGCGCCUCGUGAAUUCAUCUCCGGGGGUAGAGCACUGUUUCGGCAAGGGGGUCAUCCCGACUUACCAACCCGAUGCAAACUGCGAAUACCGGAGAAUGUUAUCACGGGAGACACACGGCGGGUGCUAACGUCCGUCGUGAAGAGGGAAACAACCCAGACCGCCAGCUAAGGUCCCAAAGUCAUGGUUAAGUGGGAAACGAUGUGGGAAGGCCCAGACAGCCAGGAUGUUGGCUUAGAAGCAGCCAUCAUUUAAAGAAAGCGUAAUAGCUCACUGGUCGAGUCGGCCUGCGCGGAAGAUGUAACGGGGCUAAACCAUGCACCGAAGCUGCGGCAGCGACGCUGAUGCGUUGUUGGGUAGGGGAGCGUUCUGUAAGCCUGUGAAGGUGUGCUGUGAGGCAUGCUGGAGGUAUCAGAAGUGCGAAUGCUGACAUAAGUAACGAUAAAGCGGGUGAAAAGCCCGCUCGCCGGAAGACCAAGGGUUCCUGUCCAACGUUAAUCGGGGCAGGGUGAGUCGACCCCUAAGGCGAGGCCGAAAGGCGUAGUCGAUGGGAAACAGGUUAAUAUUCCUGUACUUGGUGUUACUGCGAAGGGGGGACGGAGAAGGCUAUGUUGGCCGGGCGACGGUUGUCCCGGUUUAAGCGUGUAGGCUGGUUUUCCAGGCAAAUCCGGAAAAUCAAGGCUGAGGCGUGAUGACGAGGCACUACGGUGCUGAAGCAACAAAUGCCCUGCUUCCAGGAAAAGCCUCUAAGCAUCAGGUAACAUCAAAUCGUACCCCAAACCGACACAGGUGGUCAGGUAGAGAAUACCAAGGCGCUUGAGAGAACUCGGGUGAAGGAACUAGGCAAAAUGGUGCCGUAACUUCGGGAGAAGGCACGCUGAUAUGUAGGUGAAGUCCCUCGCGGAUGGAGCUGAAAUCAGUCGAAGAUACCAGCUGGCUGCAACUGUUUAUUAAAAACACAGCACUGUGCAAACACGAAAGUGGACGUAUACGGUGUGACGCCUGCCCGGUGCCGGAAGGUUAAUUGAUGGGGUUAGCGCAAGCGAAGCUCUUGAUCGAAGCCCCGGUAAACGGCGGCCGUAACUAUAACGGUCCUAAGGUAGCGAAAUUCCUUGUCGGGUAAGUUCCGACCUGCACGAAUGGCGUAAUGAUGGCCAGGCUGUCUCCACCCGAGACUCAGUGAAAUUGAACUCGCUGUGAAGAUGCAGUGUACCCGCGGCAAGACGGAAAGACCCCGUGAACCUUUACUAUAGCUUGACACUGAACAUUGAGCCUUGAUGUGUAGGAUAGGUGGGAGGCUUUGAAGUGUGGACGCCAGUCUGCAUGGAGCCGACCUUGAAAUACCACCCUUUAAUGUUUGAUGUUCUAACGUUGACCCGUAAUCCGGGUUGCGGACAGUGUCUGGUGGGUAGUUUGACUGGGGCGGUCUCCUCCUAAAGAGUAACGGAGGAGCACGAAGGUUGGCUAAUCCUGGUCGGACAUCAGGAGGUUAGUGCAAUGGCAUAAGCCAGCUUGACUGCGAGCGUGACGGCGCGAGCAGGUGCGAAAGCAGGUCAUAGUGAUCCGGUGGUUCUGAAUGGAAGGGCCAUCGCUCAACGGAUAAAAGGUACUCCGGGGAUAACAGGCUGAUACCGCCCAAGAGUUCAUAUCGACGGCGGUGUUUGGCACCUCGAUGUCGGCUCAUCACAUCCUGGGGCUGAAGUAGGUCCCAAGGGUAUGGCUGUUCGCCAUUUAAAGUGGUACGCGAGCUGGGUUUAGAACGUCGUGAGACAGUUCGGUCCCUAUCUGCCGUGGGCGCUGGAGAACUGAGGGGGGCUGCUCCUAGUACGAGAGGACCGGAGUGGACGCAUCACUGGUGUUCGGGUUGUCAUGCCAAUGGCACUGCCCGGUAGCUAAAUGCGGAAGAGAUAAGUGCUGAAAGCAUCUAAGCACGAAACUUGCCCCGAGAUGAGUUCUCCCUGACCCUUUAAGGGUCCUGAAGGAACGUUGAAGACGACGACGUUGAUAGGCCGGGUGUGUAAGCGCAGCGAUGCGUUGAGCUAACCGGUACUAAUGAACCGUGAGGCUUAACCUUACAACGCCGAAGGUGUUU
This 2933-nucleotide ribosomal RNA is filed under the name Escherichia coli. Its description in RNAcentral is "bacterial LSU rRNA". It matches the Rfam family "Bacterial large subunit ribosomal RNA". The record is from RNAcentral. Lineage: Bacteria; Pseudomonadati; Pseudomonadota; Gammaproteobacteria; Enterobacterales; Enterobacteriaceae.